Glycine soja is the source of this 2746-nucleotide long non-coding RNA. RefSeq lists it as uncharacterized. NCBI's taxonomy places the organism in Eukaryota, Viridiplantae, Streptophyta, Magnoliopsida, Fabales, Fabaceae. The record is from RefSeq and is a predicted model, not a curated record. The transcript has 7 exons.
AAAAAUGGGAAGAAAGGAAAGAAAAUGGAAGAGAAAUGGAUCGAAACAGAUCGGCCAGAGCUCGGGAAACUGAAUUUUCCUUUCAUAGGCUUCUUGCUUUCCUCCGCUUCCUUGUUCCUCUGCUUCUUGGUUUUCUUCAUUGUUAAGGAAACAAAAAAUGUUUCUUUUCCUUUUUAUAUGUUUCACCAAUUAAUUGGCUAAUCAGAAUUGUCUUGUGUGCUUAGCACGACACUCCGCUAAGUGCACAUGUCCAGCUGGAUCAAGUGACCACGCUCUAAGCGCAGGAUGCGCGCUUGCUGAUGACAACUGUGUUUUCCAAUGUAAUUUCUUGCGCUAAACGGCUUGUUUGAGAUGAGCGGUUCUGAAUCACUGAACAAGGAGGUCGCGCUGAGUGCGACACUUUUGUUAAUCCUCUUCCAUGUCUCUGUUACAACUCUACACAAACUACAACAAAAAUUAAUCUAAAAUCAUUAACUUUAUCAAAACUCAGAAGAAGAAGCUUAGUCCUAUUAUUUUAACACAAAAAUAAGCAAUAAAAGAUAAGAAAAUGAGAUAAUUACUAUGUGAUUUCAUUAUACAAAUAACGUAUGCAUAGCACUUAUCAACAUAUGUGAACUGAUUCAAUCUAUUGGAGAUGAUUUAAACUCAAAUGAAAAGAAGUAUGAGGUGAAUAGUCAAGAAAAUAUAUGGGUCAAGGUCAAUGAUGAUCAGAGAGGUUUUUAUAGGGUAAACUAUGAAGGCAAGCUUGCAGUUUGACUGCGGAAAGCCAUACAACAUAACCGCUUGUGGCCAACAGAUAAAUUUGGUGUGUGCAUUAUGCUAAAUGAUAUAUAAAUAAAAACCUAUGAUGCAACAUUUUUCUAGGAAUGUUAUAUUUGAGAGAAUAUGAUGUGGAUGUAACAAAUAACCACUGCAUAAUUGCCAAUGAAUAUGUAUGAGAGGUCCAGUACAAAGUUAUGAAGAAAGCUUGACUUGAUUUUAUAAGUUUCUUACAUCUAUUUAUCAGUUAGAAGUAAAAAUGUCUCUUGGAUGAAUUUGGAGUUCUGUUCUUUAUAAGCAGGCAUGUUUCAGCACUGGUACACUGUUCCUCUUGAUUUUAAAAGGAAGUGACAGUUCAUAUAAAUUGUUUUUAACUUUACAGGCAUUUUGGAUGAUGGAAAUGCUCUUUGCCAGGCUUGUGAACAGUCACUGUCAUCUUUGCUUAUGUUGAAGGAUGUUUAUAGAAAAGAGAUUGAUUAUGUUAUUGUAUCAAAACUGAUCGAUGUUUGUUAUGAUGUUCUGAAAAUCACCACAGAUGCCAUUCCAGAUUCAGUAAAUGAGCUGAAGCAAUAUUUUAUCAGCCUUCUCAUGUGUUCUGCAGAGUAAAGACUAAAUUUUACAUAUUUUAGUAAGGUUCUUCCUUUUUCACUCAAAAUAAAGCACCUUGAUGAUUGGACUUUUCUUGAGUGAAUAUUGCUUUGAUUGCGAAAUUACAUCAGAUUUGGAGCAUAUAGAUGCCUUAUAAAAAUUGUGCACUUGUAAAAUCAAUAUUAAUAUUAGUCUAUAGGGGUACCAAUAUCUCAAAUCAGAGAACUUUGUAUGCAUAAUGUUCUAUAUCCAACUUGAUUAUUGAUCAUGUAUGCAUACUGUUCUAUAUGCCAUAAUGCUCUCGCAGGAAAAUGGCAUACUAUCUUAAACUUACUGUUUGUGCAGACAGUUAGGUUGGGAUUCUAUAUCUGGAGAAGAUCAUUCUAUUUCACUCUUGAGAGGAGAAGUUUUUCAAGCCUUGGCUACCUUUGAUCAUGCUAAAACACAGCAAGAUGCAUUAUGCCGCUUUCAGAUUUUGUUAGAUGGCAGAAAUACUUCUCUGCUUCCAGCCAACAUUAGAAGGGUUGCUUAUAUAGCUGUAAUGAGGAAUACUACCACAGAAAAUAGGACUGGAUUGGAAUCCCUAUUGAGUUUCUAUAGGAGUACUGAUGUAUUGCUGGAAAGGGAAAAAUAUUACGUUGUAUAGCAUCAAGUGCAGAUCCAAAUGUAGUUAUAGAAGUUCUGAAUCUUUUGUUGUCCGAUGCGAUUCCAGAUCAAGAUAUUAUUUAUGUACUAGCAGGAAUAAGCAAUGAAGGCAGUGAAACUGCUUGGAGAUGAUUGAAGGAUAAUUGGGAAAGAAUAUUGGCCAGAUAUGGUGCGGGACUUUUACUUACCAAUUUCAUAAGCCAAAUGUUCCCACUGGUUAAUAGUGAUGAGAAAGCAGAUGAGAUAGAAGAAUUUUUUGCCAGUCACAUGAACCAUUCCAUCAUUAUGAAUUUGAAGUUAAGCAUUGAACAGAUCUGAAUCAAAGCAAGAUGGAUUCAAAGUGUAAGGCAAGAGCACUCUCUGCCCGACUUGAUCAAACAAUUAGCUCACAGGAAAUGAUAGCUUUGACAACAGUUUCCUUUUAAGCAAAUCUAUUAACAUAGACAGUUUCCACUAAGCUGUCUAUACUUCUGCCUCUAGUACAUUCCUAAUAUCUUGCUAUAUUUGAAUAAAUUCCAGUUUGGGAAUAGUUGGGUCAGUUCAAAAUAGUUUACCAAGCUGUCAUGUAUUCCUAAUAGUUUAUCUUCCUUAUUUGAUUCAACUUUAAACAAAGAAAUUGUUGUAUUAGUGAAAAUGGCAAGUCUAUUCACUGGACAUGGCAAGUCUAUUCGGCGGACAAAUUCUAAUUUAUUGUAAUUUGCAGCAAAUGCCUAUCUCUGAGAAGUAACAUUCUUUCCGCGGCACACAAUUUGUG